RNAcentral lists this transfer RNA (71 nucleotides) under marine eukaryotic metagenome. It matches the Rfam family "tRNA". From Rfam's summary of the family: Transfer RNA (tRNA) molecules are approximately 80 nucleotides in length. Their secondary structure includes four short double-helical elements and three loops (D, anti-codon, and T loops). Further hydrogen bonds mediate the characteristic L-shaped molecular structure. tRNAs have two regions of fundamental functional importance: the anti-codon, which is responsible for specific mRNA codon recognition, and the 3' end, to which the tRNAs corresponding amino acid is attached (by aminoacyl-tRNA synthetases). tRNAs cope with the degeneracy of the genetic code in two manners: having more than one tRNA (with a specific anti-codon) for a particular amino acid; and 'wobble' base-pairing, i.e. permitting non-standard base-pairing at the 3rd anti-codon position. The record is from RNAcentral.
GGGCCAUAGCUCAGUUGGGAGAGCGCUGGCUUUGCAAGCCAGAGGUCGCCGGUUCGAUCCCGGCUGGCUCC